ACAUUGCCGAGCGAAAAGUGCGCUUGGUAUAACAUAGCCUCCGGCAUUAUCGAUUGAUACUGACACAGGGUUAUUCACGCAUGACUAAUUCACAGCUUUGGAGCAUCAGUAAGACCUACCUAUAAAUCGAGCACUGUAAUAGAUUAAAUCUGCUCAAUUAAUAUAGUCGAUUAGACGUUGACGUCUCUCGAGUAAAUCAAGCACUGUCAGAGCGUCACAGACAAUCAAGGACGCUGAUUUUGCGGACCAAGUUAGAUCGUAAGGCAAUAAAGAUGUUAUCGAUAAGGGCGCGUGGCGAAA
Dreissena polymorpha is the source of this 300-nucleotide long non-coding RNA. RefSeq lists it as uncharacterized. Lineage: Eukaryota; Metazoa; Mollusca; Bivalvia; Myida; Dreissenidae. The record is from RefSeq and is a predicted model, not a curated record. The transcript is spliced from 2 exons.